RNAcentral lists this non-coding RNA (45 nucleotides) under Trichobilharzia regenti. The record is from RNAcentral. Lineage: Eukaryota; Metazoa; Platyhelminthes; Trematoda; Strigeidida; Schistosomatidae.
AUCCAAUUGACAAGUCUCAAACAGGACGAAAUGCGUAUCCUGGAU